This is a non-coding RNA of Deltaproteobacteria bacterium, 85 nucleotides long. Lineage: Bacteria; Pseudomonadati; Myxococcota; Myxococcia. The record is from Rfam.
GGAGGGAUGGCCGAGCGGCUGAAGGCGGCGGUCUUGAAAACCGCUGGGCGGCAACGCCCCGCAGGUUCGAAUCCUGCUCCCUCCG